This 253-nucleotide ribosomal RNA is filed under the name uncultured bacterium. RNAcentral describes it as "partial 16S ribosomal RNA". It matches the Rfam family "Bacterial small subunit ribosomal RNA", at positions 524 to 776 of the family's 1533-position model. The record is from RNAcentral.
UACGUAGGGUGCAAGCGUUGUCCGGAAUUAUUGGGCGUAAAGAGCUCGUAGGCGGCGCCGUAAGUCAGGGGUGAAAUCCCGGAGCUCAACUCCGGAACUGCCCUUGAAACUGCAGUGCUAGAAUCCUGGAGAGGCGAGUGGAAUUCCGAGUGUAGAGGUGAAAUUCGUAGAUAUUCGGAAGAACACCAGUGGCGAAGGCGACUCGCUGGACAGGUAUUGACGCUGAGGUGCGAAAGCGUGGGGAGCAAACAGG